CCAGGCCAAAGUCUGCAAUCUUCGCCAUAAAGUUGGCAUCAAGAAGGAUGUUCUGUGGUUUUAUGUCGCAGUGGAUAAUCUGUGUGCUGCACUCCUCGUGCAAGUAGAGCAGCCCUCGUGCCACUCCAAGUGCAACUUGCACACGGAGGUUCCAAUCCGGCCGAGCAUCACCGAAUAGGAAUUCGUUGAGCGAGCCAUUGGUCAUGAACUCAUAAACUAGCAGUCGGUGAGUUCCCUCACUGCACAAACCAAGCAGCCUGACCAAGUUCUUGUGAAACGUCUGCCCGAUGGUUUGCACCUCCACCAUGAACUCCUUCUCAGUCUCUUGCUGGAGUUUUUCAAUUUUCUUGACCGCAAUGCUGGUAGCAUGCUCAUCUUGCAGCUGUCCUUUGUACACGGUACCAGAGGCACCGCUGCCAAGCACCUCACGGAAACCACUAGUUGCCUUCUCCAGAUCAUUGUAAGUGAAAAUCUUUGGGGGCAAGAUAGAACUACCUGACGGUUGCGGUGACUGGAGUUUCUUCUUGGAGGUUAUGGAGAUACCGCAGUAAGUGCCGAAGAGCAGAAUACUGAUCAGGAGAAUGUUUACCAAUACAGAACCCCCAAAAAACAAGGAACUCCCAAGAAUCCAAUACUUCUUGUCCUUCUUCCAUUUGCUAGAGCCAGUGUUCUGGGACUGUGAAUUGUUGCNGGUAGCCAUUAUUCUUCAAACUAUUAUCGAAUUUUGAAGAAGAUAACAUACAGAUGCAUCAAUGAUGCUAUUUGUUCAGCUAAACAUGAGUGCCUGAAAUGCUAUAUUUACCAUUAAUUCUGAAGCAUCAAUAGAAUACAGUAUUGCAUAAUCUUGCUUCAUGCUACAACUUAUUUGUUAACAAGCAGGCACAAGUGAACUGAUGAAAGGAAUACAGUAUUGCAUAAUCAUGCUUCAUGCUACAACUUAUGAAAGCGAACUGAUGAAGGAAGAGGGAUCCGGAGGCGUGGGGAUCUGCACUGCUCCAUCAAGCAUCUGUGUCACUUUAAGCAUGGUUGGCCGCAUGGUCGGCUCCUCCUGGAGGCACCAAAGGGCUACAGCCACGAAUCGCUCUGCCUUUUUGAUGUUGAAGUUUGCCUCAUCGUCGCCUUCCACCAGCAAGUCGAUCCUCCCGCACCUGUAACAGUCGUUUGCCCAGUAAGUCAGUAUCGCCUGCUCUUCAUCGGCGAUCUCUAGCUCCACAUUCCUUCUGCAGCAUACAAGCUCCAGCAGGAUCACCCCAAAGCUGUAAACAUCGACUUUGGAAGUGAUCCCUAUGUUCUUGAACCACUCUGGAGCAACGUAACCUCGAGUACCCCGGAUGCCGGUGUUUGUCUGUGUCUGAUUGGCUCGAAGAAGCUUCGCCAGGCCAAAGUCUGCAAUCUUCGCCAUAAAGUUGGCAUCAAGAAGGAUGUUCUGUGGUUUUAUGUCGCAGUGGAUAAUCUGUGUGCUGCACUCCUCGUGCAAGUAGAGCAGCCCUCGUGCCACUCCAAGUGCAACUUGCACACGGAGGUUCCAAUCCGGCCGAGCAUCACCGAAUAGGAAUUCGUUGAGCGAGCCAUUGGUCAUGAACUCAUAAACUAGCAGUCGGUGAGUUCCCUCACUGCACAAACCAAGCAGCCUGACCAAGUUCUUGUGAAACGUCUGCCCGAUGGUUUGCA
This 1671-nucleotide long non-coding RNA is filed under the name Hordeum vulgare. Its description in RNAcentral is "long non-coding RNA (HVUL_LNC002627)". The record is from RNAcentral. Lineage: Eukaryota; Viridiplantae; Streptophyta; Magnoliopsida; Poales; Poaceae.